RNAcentral lists this non-coding RNA (28 nucleotides) under Mus musculus (house mouse). The record is from RNAcentral. Lineage: Eukaryota; Metazoa; Chordata; Mammalia; Rodentia; Muridae.
UGGUCAGGCUAGUGAUGCCCGAAGUGUC